UACAGAGGUCCCGAGCGUUGUUCGGAUUCAUUGGGCGUAAAGGGUGCGUAGGCGGCGGGGAAAGUCUGAUGUGAAAUCCUGGGGCUCAACCCUGGAACUGCAUUGGAUACUUCCUUGCUAGAGUACUGGAGAGGAAACUGGAAUUUACGGUGUAGCAGUGAAAUGCGUAGAGAUCGUAAGGAAGACCAGUGGCGGAGGCGAGUUUCUGGACAGUUACUGACGCUGAGGCACGAAGGCCAGGGGAGCAAACGGG
Molecule: ribosomal RNA, 253 nt
Filed under: uncultured bacterium
Lineage: Bacteria
Description: partial 16S ribosomal RNA
Rfam family: Bacterial small subunit ribosomal RNA
Source: RNAcentral